GAUCAUGCAUUCACGCCACUCACGGUGAACCGGCGGCCGGCCGAUCGGCGGAGGAUGGCGGCCGCGGCGGGGGACUCGUCGGAGCCGAAGGCGAGCAUCGGCGCGGGCAGCUGCUGGUCGCCACCAUCCACCUCGGUCUCGGAAUCGGUAGCAUCUCUCCGCACCUCUCCUUUCGCGCAUUUUUGCAUUUGAAUUCGGUUCCAUCCGCAUUGUUGGGGGGGGGGGGGGGGGGGGGCUUCCCGUCGGUGAUCGUGCUGAGGGAACUGUAGCCUGUAGGUCCGAUUGGCUCCGGGAGUCGUCGUCUUCCUUGAAGGGAGAUUCUACCGUGUGGCUUACUUGGAGUAGAAGAGUGUCUCCUUGAGUCCUUUUGUACCGAGAGGAUUCGUAGUCUACAGGGGAAUUAGGGCGAAGUGCUGUCGCUUAUGGCUGCUGAAUGCUGAGGCAGAGUUAGCGCGUGAGUGCGCAGGUGUACUGGGACAACUACCCCAGUUUGCGCGAUUGCUCUGAAAAAUAACGAUGUAGCUAUGCGAUUGGCUGCAUAGUGCAUAGCUCGGUCUAAAAGUGUGAAGUGUGAAAGAAGGGGAAAACCCCCAUGAACAAUACACUUGUUAAAUCAAUUUUCUUCUUUAGGAUUUCGUUCUUCUGUUUUUGCUUUAUCCUUUGAUUUAGAAUUUUAUGUUUGGGAGGUUACUGAAUUGAUAAAUCGUAGGUUUAUUAUGGAGUUUUUCUUCCUCAAGGAAAAGAAAAACUAAAAGAGGUUUGGUUUUCACGAGCUAGAGAAAUGCCCAGGGGUCUUCUGGCUAGCUCCACAAGGUGGUGGGCUAGACGACCUGGGUUUGAAGCCUCAUCCCUUCUAAUUAUUUGAUAUUAGGUACUUCCCUAAUAUUCACGUUUUUUUUUUCACAAGCCAGAGCUUGUACUCAGUAGUAUAUACGAAGAUAUAUGCUUGGACUCCGUGUUGAAUUAUUCCAUAUAUCUACUUUCACUUCUGAAUUCAUAUAUGCAUCCAAGCAGAUAUAGAAUGGAGUGAAUUCUAUACACACCAAAUAUAUUUGAAUUUGUAGUGAGUGAAUUCUAUUCAUACCAAAUAUAUUUAAUGUUAACUGAAAAUUUAAUUGUGUUUGAUGUAUGCAGACAUCACUUUAGAUGUAGAGUUCUUGUGCAGAGAAAUGCUACAAUUUGAUUUCACAGAAAACUCUGUCCCCGCUUUUCUAUUGGUUAUUGCUAUAAGAUUCCAUGUUUUGCAUUGUGCAUGCAGUUUUUCCAAUGUCCUUUUUGUACUUUUUGUUUGUCAAACUUCUAGUAGCUCUUGCCAUUUUUAAAUUUGAAAUGUGGUUUCAUUUUCUUUGGAAAGUUUGGGCAUAAAUUUCCAAGAAAAUAUUUAUCCUUUCCCAUCCUACUCUGAUGGUUGUUAGAUGGUUUCAGGUGAAUGAUGCAUAUAAAUACUAAACAAACAUAUGUCUUCUACGGCCAAAUUUCUGCAAAUGCCUUCUCUAAUUGAUCUCCUGGUUAAUCUUUAGUUACUAACCAUGAAUAUUGCAUACAGCUUCCAUAUUCUUGUCCUUUAAUUUGCAACUUUCCUGCAUUUGACAUCAUAGUAGCAGACCAAGUUUUGUUCUGAUUCCAUUACUUAAAUCAAAGACUUGGCCACGGCCAAGGUAGUAUUUCCAAUUUCUAAAACCUCUUUGUUAUGUUUAAUCUCAGUUCUACAUUCAUUAUUAUUGUGCAUAUUUUCAGAGUCAUAUUUUGUAGCCAUCUGCCUGAUUAUUGCAUGCAAAACACAUUAGUAUUUGUUGGAAGAUAUUUUGCAACCGUAAUUGACAUACUGGAAGAAGUCAUAACCAUUAUUGUUUCCAUCGCUGUAUAGGUUUUAUUUUCGCCCACCCAUUUGCCUUCCACUGUUUAGGGAAAAGAAGAGCCUUGAUCUCGCCAUGUUGCAUUUGCUUUCCUUCAUCCAGUGGUUAUCUGCAUGAAGUAACUUCGAUGCUUACAGGUGAUUAUGCGUGUGUUCCUUUUUCCUCUAUUAGUUGCCUUGGUUUUUGAUAUUAUCAGUUCUGUGAUAUCGUUUUCCUGCAACUUGGGGCUUAGGGCAGGUAGGAUAAGACUCAGAAAGCAAGUAUUGGCAGUGACUGAAAGGUGUCCUUUACUCUUCCAGAGUUACAUUUGUUCUUAAGAAAUGAACUUUCUAAUUGCUUGUGUCUUAUACUAAAAAGAUACUUGUCUAGUUUGCAUUUAGGUUUUUCGUGGUACAUCAUGUUGAAUUCCAACAAGUGCGUAUUAUAUUAUAUGCAGAACGAGCACUUCGUGAUUGUUCGUAUGGAAGCUAUGUUAACACAUCAACCUGCAAUUGCGUGCAACAGUGGUGGUCAUGGAAGUUGUAAAUGCAUUAAUGGGGUUUCUCUAUGAGGCCUCCUGGUUAAAUCCUUGAAAGAAUGUCUGGUAAAUGAUCAUAAUAUAACAAUUUUGAUGGGAGGAAAUAAGAACAGAGCAUUGUGGUGCAGGAACAAUUGCUAGCUCCUCAGCUGCUUUAUUCUUAACCUUUACCAUCAGAUGGUUUGAUAGCAUAUAAUUUGACUUAUCACAUACAGUAUGAAAGAAUUUUCCAGGCUAGACAUCAAUUUCCUGAAGUUCUAGACAUAGCUAGAGAGUCAGCAACAACAACAAUCAUUACAAUUCAGUCAGUUCAGCUAUUGUGAGUAAACCAAAUUGCAUGGUACUUAUGGGUCUGUCCAUCUUUCGUACUACUAGGUUGUGUCUAAUCCAGGAUUAGGUUGCUAUAUUUUGGGAUAGAGGGAGUUCGCAUUAAAUCUGGACUUCUAGAUUAUGAAGUUCCGGACGUAACACUUAUCAACUGGAAUGAUUAAAAUACCUAGAGAACUCACUUAUUAAUCUCUAUCUAUCUUCUGUUAUUCUGCCAUGCUGUUAGGACUUAGGAUGGACCAAUAUCAUCUGCUAUUCCUGCACCUGAGCUAGAAUGUCUUAGAAAUGAAUAUGAUACUAGCUUGAGUUUUUUUUAAAAAAACUGUUUGGUUUCCUUCGUGUCCUAUCUUUGUUAUUAUGGGCAUGAAUCCAUAACAUUUCUUGAGUGGCUAUUUCUAAGUGGAGUUCUCUUGCCGCCAAUCUUUUUCCAAUGGAAAGUUGACUAGCUGACAGUUUAUUGUUCUAUGGUAUACUAUUUUGGUAUUUAUACCAUGUUAUUUUAUCCAAAUCUUUUCUUGGAUGUUCCAAUGCCAAAUACUUCUUAUGGUUUUCUAAUUCUAUAUCUGGGACAUCCAGAAUACUCAUACCUUGUUGUACCUGUACGGUCUUAUUAUGGGUAGAUCCCUGCUAUGCUAUUUCACAAUUAAUUUGAUGUUUUGGCCUAUCACUUCAUAUUAUUGUUCGAGACAAAGGACAAUUUGCAAAGAAAUAGUUGGUGUACUAUUGAUAAAUUAAUGCAAUUUAUGUUUCCUCCAUGUAGGUUGCAUAAGAGCACAGUUUUCUGAUAAAAGAUUUUACAAAACUGCAAAAGUUGCAAGUCAGAGACUCGGAGUAUUACUGAAGUGAGUCCAACUCUUAUAGAACUUUUUUGUUGGUGGGGUUCAUCCUUCGAACUAUACCUUUUGCCACCUCUGGGAAUCAAUUAUUUCCCGGAAAUAUGGAUUUGAUUUCUUGGUUCCUGCAGCUUUGCUGAUCGUACCACAAUAGAUCUGCUGGCUUUUGCCCUUCAAGACCCAAGAGGGCUAGCUUGAUGGUACAUUUCUUUAAUCUUUGUUCUGAAGCAAUAGGUCAAUUGUGAAUAGUUUCUUUUCUAUGCUGCAAAAGGUGUACCAGACUUCUUUACCUUCUUUAACAAUGUUGUAGUUCUCCAAAAGGCCCAUAUUUCUAAACAUUUUCAAUCUUUUAGUCCAUCGGUACCCCAGUCCAGCGAUAGACCUGGCAUACCCUUACCUUAUUCUAUUUACCUGUGUUGGACUUGAGGAAAUAUAUUAGUGUUGCAAUCUUUUAGCCCUACUCCCAUGUUGUUUUAUUCUACUUUAAUCUAUGGUUAUCUUAAUGCAGGGAGACUAAUCAAGUCCAAGAUUCCUUUUUCACGGAUGGAUGGUCCCAGUUGAGUGGACCUUUUGGUGGGAAGCGGACAAACUAAAGCAGGUUCCCACUUGACACCUUAAUUUUCUUCAAAACAACUUUCUUCACAAGAUCUCUUGCCAAUUAAAUUGAGACCCAGAGGUAAAAUUACCACAUAAUCGUCACUCCGAAAAAAAUGUCACUAACAUCGAUAGUUAGUCAAAAAAAAACAUCGAUAGUUCAAUAUGGCUGACAUGCUAAUUCACAAUCUUUGUUUGCAACCCAUCAUUUUAAUUCAACUAUAUAUAUAUUUCUCUUUCCGAGGGAGUAAUAUGUGAAAGUAUUCCUUUUCUUCGAGGUAAAAAAAAAGGUACCUUAUCGUAGGCGCAAUCAAGGAUUGUUUGUUUAGGGCAUGUUUAAUUCGCGAAAAGAAAAUAUUUGGGUGUCACAUCAGAUGUUUGACCGGAUGUCGAAAGGGGUUUUCGGACAUGAAUGAAAAAACUAAUUUCAUAACUCGUCUGGAAACCGCGAGACGGAUCUUUUGAGCCUAAUUAAUCCGUCAUUAGCACAUGUAGGUUACUGUAGCACUUAUGGCUAAUCAUGGACUAAUUAGGCUCAAAAGAUUCAUCUCGCGAUUUCCAUGCAAACCGUGCAAUUAGUUUUUAUUUUAUCUAUAUUUAAUACUCCAUGCAUGUGUCUAAAAAUUUGAUGUGACGUUUUUGGGAAAAAAAUUAGGAACUAAACAAGGCCUUAUAUCGCUUGCUUGCUGAUGGAGUGAUGGUUGAUUGGUGAUUGGACCAAUCUAUCAUUUCUUCAUAUUGGCAAUUGAUUCAAGUCAUUCAUCGUUUUUGUUCUAACAAUUAAUAAUACAUCCAACCAUUCUUGGUAAUUUUGAUUUGGAAAGAAAAAUAUCUACCUCACUUUAUUAAGGAUUGCACUCCAUCUACUUCAGAUACUAAAUCAGGUAUUGAAGAACCACCCAAAUUACACAUGAGGCAGUAGAGGUGUUUUUAGGUAAGACCUUUAUACUUAUAUCCUUAGCUCUAAAAGCCAAGUCUGGAAAAUAAAAAACAACUAAACAAGCCCCCUAAAUUGAUUCAAAUUAAGUUUUAAAAUUUGCUGCAGCUCAAAUUAAGUUCUAAAAAAAGAAGUUUACUAUAGAUUGUUUGUACAGCUGGUUUUAAGUAUUUAAGGACAUUAACUUGAAAGUAGAAGUGUUCAGUAGACCUUAUAAAUUAGAAAUAGUUGAUGUCUUGAAAUUUCUAGGCUCAUGUUUCUUGUGGUCUAUUAGUGGUGUAAAAGCACUCAAUCCAUUUCAACCCUAUUGACCAAGUGCUGUCACGUGGGUCCAAAUAUCAGUUAAAGUUAAAACCUACUACUACUUGCCUUCCACUUCCCUAUGUCAAGCGAAACAAAAUUUUAAUUGUAGUUCAGUAUAUUAAACUCCGCUAGAUUCAAUAGAUUAGGCUUGCCUCAAAGACAACCACUGACUCUCUGGUUGCAAACAGUUUGUUUCCCAUGGCUUGGUUGGUUUGAGCAGUGUUGUAGUACCCUUUAAAAUUUUUCCUUGCAUGUGAUGCGAGAGAGCGGAUGGGAAGGUGAAAACGCAGGAACAGACCCUAUGACCCCUGCCCCUAUGCUUAGGUCGUGUUUAGUUGUUUGGUCAAUUUUUUUUAAGUAUACGGACACACAUUUAAAGUAUUAAACGUAGACUAAUAACAAAAUAAAUUAUAGAUUCCGCCUAUAAACUACGAGACGAAUUUAUUAAGCCUAAUUAAUUCGUCAUUAGCAAAUGUUUACUGUAGCAUCACAUUGUUAAAUCAUGGCGCAAUUAGUCUUAAAAGAUUCGUCUAGCAAUUUACAUUGCAAACUGUGCAAUUGAUUUUUUUUCAUACACAUUUAAUGCUCCAUGCAUGUGUCCAAACAUUUGAUGUAAUAUUUUUGGCCAAAUAUUUUUGGAAUCUAAACACACCCUUACUGGAUCCUUUGCGUUCUCUCGAACCAUAUAUAUCCAUGCUGUCUGUGCCGGAUACAUGCAUUGCGCAAGAACAACGUGCCAUAAAUCAUUCAUACUGUGCCAUCUUAGCUUAACUUAAUGCUUACUGUAGCUCAUUGUGAUGUGACUUUCAAAUCUGAUAUCUAAUCUUAAGAGCAAGUUUAAUAGUAUAGUCAAAUAUUAGCUCCAAAUCAUCUAUAAUCAAUUUAAUAGCCAAUCUAUAUAAUAGUUAUCUAUAAACAUAUACUACACUUUUAAUAUCUACAAAUUGUGUCUUACAGUCCGUGUUAUAGCUGUCUACAAAUUUAUAGCUCCCUGCUCUUCUCUCUUCUCCUUUAUCUCCUCGAAAUAUGUUUAUUGUUGGCUUAUAAUCUGUUAUUGUGCCUGCUCUAACAUUCUCGUGCUAUAGUAUUAUAGACACAUGUCUUGACUAAUUUUGUCUAAAUUAUAGCGGGCAAUUUGAUUACCGCCGUUUUUUAAGCUAUACUUUUAUCUUAUCAGUUAUGGCAUUGGCCAAACUCUCCACGAUAAUUAUUGCCUAUUGGAACCUGGAACAUUAGUAGCGUAGAUUGUACUCCUUUGGAGGAAUCCUAACUUAUGGUUAAACCUCAUGGAAAAUUCACUUUGUGUCCAUACGUGGUUGAAUAGUUCUUUUGUUUUACAAUUUCUAAUGACUAUAGAUUUGACACUUCAACUCUUGUGUUUUCCUAAUCCCGUUUUUAAAUUCAUGAGUCCCCUAACAUAUUGUUGUGUGUUCCACACAGCAGAACAAAGAAUCAACCUGAAUUACUGAACUCCACCGUAAUAGCUUAAGUGACUAUAAUUUUUCCUAUUUUCCUGCGCACUGUAUGCUGUACCAACACAUAUAGAAGUAUCUGUUUAAGCCAUUGACAACAAUACAUGAAGCAUCAUAGUCUAUGUUAAAGUUAGCCGUCCUUCUUUUGCCUGUUCAGAUGCUAACAAGCUGUUUCGUCAAAGAUUGGUUCCUACCUGUCUUCCCCGCAGGUGAAGUCGCUGUUUUUUUUCCAUGCAACUUUGCAAUCAUGCUUUUGUCUUUUGCCUGUUGAGAUUUUCAGAAUGGAACUUGGGGGUAAGUAUCAGGUUAGCAGCAGAAAACAACGGGGCCGCAUUUCGGCACACUGCAUCCAUCAAGGAACUGUUGAGUUUGACUUGCCAGGUACCCCUCUUCUUCCAGAAUCCAAUGCCCCUUGCCCUUGAACCCUUUAUUUUUAUUUUUGAAACUUAUUGAACCCUUUAUUAGACGUGCUUUCAUUUCCCGUCUUCUUUCAUGUGAAACACCCAGAGAAUAUCAUCAGGUCAUCAGGAGCAACUUUUUUUUUUAGGGAAGUCAUCAGGAGCACAUAAAUGUUUUAUCAAGAAAGCCAUUUUGCAUAGUAUAAAAAGUUCGAAAUUAACUGUUAACAUAUAUUGUAGUAAACGAAUGUUAGCAUUUGGUAGUAACUGUCAUUAAAAUUAAAUUAAUAGAAUUUUCACUGAUUUUUUUUCUGUUUUCUGGAUUUCCUUUUCUAGCAAAACUUAUCCUUGUGAAUUCUAGAUCUGUAGAUUUUUUUUUUGGCAUUUAUCUCAAAUUUAAUCUAUGUGAAAGGUUUUAUUUUAGAUUUUUGUUGCUGUUCAAAUGACUUAUUCUAAUGGAUUUUUACGAGAUGAACUUUUAUUAUAUUAGUAGUGAGCUAUAAACCAACUAUAAACUUAUGUGUAAGAGAAAAACAAAGAAAAUGCAUGAGUGUUGGCUCUUAUACAAGAGAAAGAGAAAAGCUUCACAUUAAAUUCAUAGUAAGAAAAAGAUUCAGACAAAAAAUAGAGCAAACUUUAUAGUUAAUUUAUUAUACAUAUUAGCUCUAACAUGGACUAAUAGCUAAUUGUUAGCUCUAUUAUUAAACUUGCUCCCAUGAAACACCAUAGAGGUUUCAAGAAUUUCUCUUCCUCGGUGCCUCUAAUAUUGACUGUUGCCCCAUUCAGUAGAAGAGCCUACGGAGUUAUUGCAGCUGCAGCUACAACUAGGCAACACCAUUCUAGACCCUCUUCAUUACUGCACAUGCAGGACUGCUCACUAACAUGUGGGACCGAUGGUCAGUGGACAAUGGGACACAUAUUAUUGUUGGCUUGUAAUUGUAGUAAAUGGGUAGCCGAAUAGGCCCUGUAUAGAAUGAUAGAAUAAUUUUUGGGAGUAGAUUACAUGCACGUGAAAAUUUAUUAAACUUCAGUAUAACUAUCGUUUUGUUAUUAUAUAUGGGUUUAGUUUAAUUUUGAUUUAAGUUUGAAUGCUUUUUCCACGUAAUUUUGUAUAUUUAUGAACUGUAAGUUUAUUUCAUGUUUAGGGUAUAAUAAUCUACUGCUCAACAUUUUAUGAAGAAAAAAAAAGGUUCUCUUUUAAAUGAGUAAGUAAUGGAGUAACGGAAACCAUUGAAUCCUCAUCUACUCCCUCCGUCCCAAAGAAAAACAAACCCUAGUUUCCAUGCCCAACAUUUGACCGUCCGUCUUAUUUGAAAAAAUUAUGAAAAAAAUUAAAAAAACAAGUCACGUAUAAAACAUUAAUCAUGUUUUAUCAUCUAACAACAAUGAAAAUAUGAAUUAUAAAAAAAUUUUAUAUAAGACGGACAAUCAAAGUUGGACACGGAAAACCAGGGUUUGCCUUUUUUUUUUGGGACGGAGGGAGUAGAUGAGAACUUUUAAAAAUUUCAAGCACCUGAAAUCUGAUACUCCCAUAAUUCUUUAUUUGCGCCGUGGGCCCUCUCAUUUAUUUUUUUAUAUAAUAUGUGGAAAGAAUAUUCUAUCCUUAUUUUUUUCGCUCACAGGUUUUCUCUUAAUUACCUUUUUUUUCUCUUUUUUUUCGAUGGUGCAUGAAAAUACUAGUACUAUCUUAUACUGUCGCUUUUCCUCUUUCUACGAGUGUCAGAUAUGGUGGAGUUCGAGUUCCCAAUGCUUCAGUUGGCCCGCCAAAGCCAUCCAAUUUGCCGAGACGGACACCCCGCGCGCGACGCCACGCCACCGCGCGCGAAUUUACGCGGUUGCCCCUCGGUGGAGUCCCCUUCGCCGUAAUUAGCCCCUACAAGGAGGGGCAGUCUCGGCGCGAAACGUUGACUCCCCUGCACUCCCCCAAUCCCCUCCACGUCAACACGGCCCUGCCACGUCACUGGCGAACUCUUCCCCUGCUCCCCGGCGUGAGCGGAGCAGGUGCGGACAAAACGGCCCCUCCACCAUACUACCAGCACCACCUGACAAUUUGCGUUCUCACCCCAAGUUAAACUCGUAAUUACGUGUAGCCCCCUCCUAGGCUCACCAUUUAUAGGAGAUUUUUUUUUUCAAUCCGGUACUUGAGAAGGGUUGGAAUUAGGAUUUGGGGUUCUUCCUUGGUGCCUGGUAAUGGCUAAAAUAAUCCGGCCUAGCGCACGGUGCACUCACGAACGAACGACUGCCUCGGCCAGUGGGGGCGUACUGGUAAGAAAAGCCCACUCGUUACUCGUUAGUGCUGCCUCCGCAUCAUCUGCUUGCUACGCUUUCCUUUCUCCUAAGAGCAUUCCCAAUAGAAACCACGGUAGCAGUGGUCUUAUAUGAACCAUAUAGCCUAAGAGCAUG
Molecule: long non-coding RNA, 9640 nt
Filed under: Oryza sativa (Asian cultivated rice)
Lineage: Eukaryota; Viridiplantae; Streptophyta; Magnoliopsida; Poales; Poaceae
Description: long non-coding RNA (OSAT_LNC000433)
Rfam family: MIR812 microRNA precursor family (bases 8497-8702)
Source: RNAcentral